CGCUGGCGGCGUGCCUAAUACAUGCAAGUCGAACGGUCUUUCUAUGGAAGCUUGCUCCACUGAGAAGAUAGUGGCGAACGGGUGAGUAACACGUGGGUAACCUGCCCAUAAGAGGGGGGAUAACAUCCGGAAACGGGUGCUAAUACCGCAUAGUUUUCUUGAUCGCAUGAUUGAGAAAGGAAAGACGGCCUUUGUGCUGUCGCUUAUGGAUGGACCCGCGGCGUAUUAGUUAGUUGGUGAGGUAACGGCUCACCAAGACGAUGAUACGUAGCCGACCUGAGAGGGUGAUCGGCCACAUUGGGACUGAGACACGGCCCAAACUCCUACGGGAGGCAGCAGUAGGGAAUCUUCCGCAAUGGACGAAAGUCUGACGGAGCAACGCCGCGUGAGUGAAAGAAGGUUUUCGGAUCGUAAAACUCUGUUGUCAGAGAAGAACAAGUUGGAGAGUAACUGCUCCAGCCUUGACGGUAUCUGACCAGAAAGCCACGGCUAACUACGUGCCAGCCGCCGC
Molecule: ribosomal RNA, 511 nt
Filed under: uncultured bacterium
Lineage: Bacteria
Description: bacterial SSU rRNA
Rfam family: Bacterial small subunit ribosomal RNA
Source: RNAcentral